GCCACCAUGGCAAAAUGGUUUGAGUGUUGGGCUAUAACUCUGGAGACCAGGGUUCAAUUCCCAGUUUGGCC
This 71-nucleotide transfer RNA is filed under the name Phrynosoma platyrhinos (Desert horned lizard). Its description in RNAcentral is "tRNA-OTHER". The record is from RNAcentral. Lineage: Eukaryota; Metazoa; Chordata; Lepidosauria; Squamata; Phrynosomatidae.